AACGCGAAGAACCUUACCUGGGCUCGAAAUGGAGUGGACCGGGGUGGAAACAUCCCUUCCCCGCAAGGGGCUGCUCUAUAGGUGCUGCAUGGCUGUCGUCAGCUCGUGUCGUGAGAUGUUGGGUUAAGUCCCGCAACGAGCGCAACCCUUAUUACCAGUUGCCAUCAUUCAGUUGGGCACUCCGGUGAGACCGCCUCGGAUAACGGGGAGGAAGGCGGGGAUGACGUCAAGUCCUCAUGGCCUUUAUGUCCAGGGCUACACACGUGCUACAAUGGCCGGUACAAACCGUCGCAAACCCGCGAGGGGGAGCUAAUCGGAAAAAGCCGGCCUCAGUUCGGAUUGCAGUCUGCAACUCGACUGCAUGAAGCUGGAAUCGCUAGUAAUCGCGGAUCAGAACGCCGCGGUGAAUACGUUCCCGGGCCUUGUACACACCGCGCAUA
This 440-nucleotide ribosomal RNA is filed under the name uncultured bacterium. RNAcentral describes it as "bacterial SSU rRNA". It matches the Rfam family "Bacterial small subunit ribosomal RNA", at positions 958 to 1398 of the family's 1533-position model. The record is from RNAcentral.